Molecule: transfer RNA, 65 nt
Filed under: Paraplagusia japonica (black cow-tongue)
Lineage: Eukaryota; Metazoa; Chordata; Actinopteri; Pleuronectiformes; Cynoglossidae
Description: tRNA-Cys
Source: RNAcentral
AGCUCUGGGGUGUUACCACAUUAGAUUGCAAAUCUAAAGACGCAGAAUAAUAUCUGCCGGGGCUU